Molecule: ribosomal RNA, 253 nt
Filed under: uncultured bacterium
Lineage: Bacteria
Description: partial 16S ribosomal RNA
Rfam family: Bacterial small subunit ribosomal RNA
Source: RNAcentral
UACGUAGGUGGCAAGCGUUGUCCGGAUUUACUGGGCGUAAAGAGCGCGCAGGCGGUCAGAUAAGUCGAAUGUGAAAGCCCCCGGCUCAACUGGGGAGGGUCAUUCGAUACUGUUCGACUCGAAGGCAGGAGAGGGAAGCGGAAUUCCCGGUGUAGUGGUGAAAUGCGUAGAUAUCGGGAGGAACACCAGUGGCGAAGGCGGCUUCCUGGCCUGUUCUUGACGCUGAGGCGCGAAAGCUAGGGGAGCAAACAGG